UUUGUUUGGCAAUGAAUGUAUAAGUUCAACAUGUGAUGAAGAAUGUAGCCAAAUGCAAUAAUAUUUGUGAAAUGCAGAAUCCCGUGAAUCAAUUCAUGUUUGAAUGUGUCUGGCAUCUUU
This 120-nucleotide ribosomal RNA is filed under the name Coolia malayensis. RNAcentral's name for it is "5.8S ribosomal RNA". It matches the Rfam family "5.8S ribosomal RNA", at positions 1 to 120 of the family's 154-position model. From Rfam's summary of the family: 5.8S ribosomal RNA (5.8S rRNA) is a component of the large subunit of the eukaryotic ribosome. The record is from RNAcentral. Lineage: Eukaryota; Dinophyceae; Peridiniales; Ostreopsidaceae.